This 82-nucleotide ribosomal RNA is filed under the name Anolis ortonii. RNAcentral's name for it is "partial 16S large subunit ribosomal RNA". The record is from RNAcentral. Lineage: Eukaryota; Metazoa; Chordata; Lepidosauria; Squamata; Anolidae.
GCCAAACUUUGACCUAAAAAACCUACCAAGCAUUAACAAAACAAAACAAACCAUUUGAUCAAAUAAGUAGAGGAGAUCGAAC